RNAcentral lists this ribosomal RNA (273 nucleotides) under uncultured bacterium. Its description in RNAcentral is "partial 16S ribosomal RNA". It matches the Rfam family "Archaeal small subunit ribosomal RNA", at positions 473 to 747 of the family's 1478-position model. The record is from RNAcentral.
AUACCAGCCCCGCGAGUGGUCGGGACGAUUAUUGGGCCUAAAGCGCCCGUAGCCGGCCCGGUAAGUCCCCCUUUAAAGGCCGGGGCUCAACCCCGGUGCGGGGGGGAUACUGCCGGGCUAGGGGGCGGGAAAGGCCGAGGGUACUCCCGGGGUAGGGGCGAAAUCCGUUAAUCCCGGGAGGACCACCAGUGGCGAAGGCGCUCGGCUGGAACGCGCCCGACGGUGAGGGGCGAAAGCCGGGGGAGCGAACCGGAUUAGAUACCCUAGUAGUCC